GCCUACGGCCAUACCACCCUGAGUGCGCCCGAUCUCGUCUGAUCUCGGAAGCUAAGCAGGGUUGGGCCUGGUUAGUACUUGGAUGGGAGAAGGGCAAGCCCAAGUGCCAUCC
RNAcentral lists this ribosomal RNA (112 nucleotides) under Microcebus murinus (gray mouse lemur). The record is from RNAcentral. Lineage: Eukaryota; Metazoa; Chordata; Mammalia; Primates; Cheirogaleidae.